UGCAUGGAUGGACUCUCCCCCUCUCAGAGUAUAAAGACAGGGAGAGAUCUGGGGGAAGCUCGACUUCAGCUGUGGGUAGAGAAGACAGGACUCAGGACAAUCUCCAGCAUGGCCUGGUUCCCUCUCCUCGUCACCCUCUUCACUCACUGUACAGGGUCCUGGGCCCAGUCUGUUUUGACUCAGCCAUCCUCAGUGUCUGGGACCCCCGGGCAGAGGGUCACCAUCUCUUGCUCUGGAAGCAGCUCCAACAUCGGAAGUAAUAAUGUAUACUGGUACCAGCAGCUCCCAGGAACGGCCCCCAAACUCCUCAUCUAUGAUAAUAAUCAGCGGCCCUCAGGGGUCCCUGACCGAUUCUCUGGCUCCAAGUCUGGCACCUCAGCCUCCCUGGCCAUCAGUGGGCUCCAGACCGAGGAUGAGGCUGAUUAUUACUGCGAAGCAUGGGAUGACAGCCUGAGUGGUCCCACAGUGCUGCAGGCCCAGGGGGAAGUGAGACAAGAACCCCCUUCCUCCUCUGUCAGGAGGGUGAGCCCCGGCAGCUGCUGCUCAGGUCUGGCCUGUGGCUUCUGCUGCUGUAGCUUCCCUCACGGGUCCAGGGGCAUCCAGGGCCCUGCCUGA
Non-coding RNA from Nomascus leucogenys (northern white-cheeked gibbon), 615 nucleotides. The record is from the annotation of a RefSeq genome assembly. NCBI's taxonomy places the organism in Eukaryota, Metazoa, Chordata, Mammalia, Primates, Hylobatidae.